RNAcentral lists this small RNA (114 nucleotides) under Salmonella enterica. RNAcentral's name for it is "partial RtT sRNA". It matches the Rfam family "RtT RNA", at positions 1 to 112 of the family's 130-position model. Rfam says of the family: This family represents a bacterial cis-regulatory element known as RtT RNA. The record is from RNAcentral. RNAcentral also lists the same sequence under 3 other names. Lineage: Bacteria; Pseudomonadati; Pseudomonadota; Gammaproteobacteria; Enterobacterales; Enterobacteriaceae.
AUAUCUCUCUGUACGGGAAGGAUGAGAAGCUUCGACUAAGGUUCGAUUCGAGCGUCAGCGAGAAAGCGUUGCCGCAGGCAACGACCCGAAGGGCGAAGCGCGCAGCGCUGAGUC